GAUGAAGAACGCAGCGAAAUGCGAUAAGUAAUGUGAAUUGCAGAAUUCAGUGAAUCAUCGAAUCUUUGAACGCACCUUGCGCCCUUUGGACAUUCCGAAGGGCAUGCCUGUUUGAGUAUCAUGAACACCUCAACUCUCACGGCUUGUCCGUGAUGAGCUUGGACUUUGGGGGUCUUGCCGGCCUGUGGUCGGCUCCUCUCAAAUGGAUCAGCUUGCCAGUGUUUGGUGGCAUCACAGGUGUAAUAACUAUCUGCGCUUGUGGUUUUCCAUCAGAUAACCUUCAGUGAUAUGGAGGUUCGCUGGAGCUCACAAAUGUCUCUCCUUAGUGAGGACAGCUCUUUGAACGUUUGAUCUCAAAUCAGGUAGGACUACCCGCUGAACUUAAGCAUAUCAAUAAGCGGAGGA
Molecule: unclassified non-coding RNA, 405 nt
Filed under: soil metagenome
Description: partial contains 5.8S ribosomal RNA, internal transcribed spacer 2, and large subunit ribosomal RNA
Rfam family: 5.8S ribosomal RNA (bases 1-121)
Source: RNAcentral